RNAcentral lists this ribosomal RNA (468 nucleotides) under uncultured bacterium. Its description in RNAcentral is "partial 16S ribosomal RNA". It matches the Rfam family "Bacterial small subunit ribosomal RNA", at positions 28 to 507 of the family's 1533-position model. The record is from RNAcentral.
GACGAACGCUGGCGGCGUGCUUAACACAUGCUAGUCGAACGGAAAGGCCCUGCUUUUGUGGGGUGCUCGAGUGGCGAACGGGUGAGUAACACGUGAGUAACCUGCCCUUGACUUUGGGAUAACUUCAGGAAACUGGGGCUAAUACCGGAUAGGAGCUCCUGCUGCAUGGUGGGGGUUGGAAAGUUUCGGCGGUUGGGGAUGGACUCGCGGCUUAUCAGCUUGUUGGUGGGGUAGUGGCUUACCAAGGCUUUGACGGGUAGCCGGCCUGAGAGGGUGACCGGCCACAUUGGGGCUUAGGUACGGCCCAAACUCCUUAGGGGGGCAACAGUGGGGAAUAAUGCACAAUGGGCGGAAGCCUGAUGCAGCAACGCCGCGUGCGGGAUGACGGCCUUCGGGUUGUAAACCGCUUUCGCCUGUGACGAAGCGUGAGUGACGGUAAUGGGUAAAGAAGCACCGGCUAACUACGUG